This 99-nucleotide small nucleolar RNA is filed under the name Hirsutella minnesotensis 3608. RNAcentral's name for it is "Small nucleolar RNA snR60/Z15/Z230/Z193/J17". It matches the Rfam family "Small nucleolar RNA snR60/Z15/Z230/Z193/J17". From Rfam's summary of the family: The members of this family belong to the C/D class of snoRNAs which contain the C (UGAUGA) and D (CUGA) box motifs. Most of the members of the box C/D family function in directing site-specific 2'-O-methylation of substrate RNAs. The family includes the yeast snoRNA snR60 (also known as Z15) and the corresponding human guide snoRNA U80 (SNORD80). The record is from Rfam by way of RNAcentral. Lineage: Eukaryota; Fungi; Ascomycota; Sordariomycetes; Hypocreales; Ophiocordycipitaceae.
AUCAUUCUCGUGAUGAUUACCCAACCAAAUGCAUAGUUCAUCUGAAAAUGCAUGAUGAAAACUUUACCUUCAAGUCUUUCGCUCCCAUCUGAUUAUAUC